Molecule: unclassified non-coding RNA, 1086 nt
Filed under: Hevea brasiliensis (rubber tree)
Lineage: Eukaryota; Viridiplantae; Streptophyta; Magnoliopsida; Malpighiales; Euphorbiaceae
Source: RNAcentral
UAAUUGUUAAAGGAAAAAGGGGGAAAAAAUGCGAAGGUUAGCUCUCACACUCUCAAUCUUGUCUCUGCUACUAGCGAUUUCGCAAUCCUCAGAAUCCAAUGAAAAAUUCAAGAUAGAUGGGAAAGUGUUGGAACUCGACGAAUCGAACUUCGAUUCCGCCAUUUCCACCUUCGAUUUCAUCUUUGUUGACUUCUACGCCCCUUGGUGCGGUCACUGUAAGCGACUCUCUCCCGAGUUAGAUGCUGCUGCUCCUGUUCUUGCCGAAUUGAAAGAGCCUAUAGUUAUAGCAAAAGUAAAUGCUGACAAGUAUACACGUCUUGCUAGCAAAUAUGAUGUUGAUGGAUAUCCUACCCUCAAAAUCUUUAUGCAUGGUGUUCCUGUAGACUACUAUGGACCAAGGAAAGCAGAUUUACUUGUUCGUUAUCUGAGGAAAUUUGUUGCUCCCGAUGUUGCCAUACUUAGUUCCGACCUUGCUAUAAAAGAUUUUGUUGAAGCAGCUGGCACUAACUUCCCUAUAUUUAUAGGUUUUGGCAUGAAUGAGACAGUGAUAUCAACUUUAGGCUUAAAGUAUAAGAAAAAUGCUUGGUUUUCUGUAGCAAAUGAUUUUUCGGAGGACGUCAUGGUACGCUAUGAUUUUGACAAGGUUCCUGCUUUGGUAGUCCUUCAUCCUAGUUACAAUGAGCAGAGCAUCUUUUAUGGCCCCUUUGAAGAGAAAUUUUUGGAGGACUUCAUAAAACAAAAUUUUCUUCCUCCAGCUGUGCCCAUGAACCAUGAUACACUGAAGAUAUUGAAGCAUGAUGAGAGAAAAAUUGUCUUGACCAUCAUGGAGGAUGAAUCUGAUGAAAAAUCACAAAAACUGAUCAAGUUACUGAAAGCUGCUGCAUCUGCAAAUCGUGACUUGGUAUUUGGUUAUGUUGGCCUCAAACAAUGGGAAGACUUUGCUGAAACAUUUGGUGCCAAUAAGGAUUCAAAACUGCCAAAAAUGGUUGUUUGGGAUGGAGAUGAGGAGUAUCUCUCAGUUAUUGGUUUAGACAGCAUAGAAGAGGAAGACCAGGGCUCUCAAAUCACACAUUUUGUUGAAGGAUA